This is a small nucleolar RNA of Oryctolagus cuniculus (rabbit), 69 nucleotides long. Ensembl annotates it as small nucleolar RNA, C/D box 50B. Its record names the gene SNORD50B. The record is from Ensembl. Lineage: Eukaryota; Metazoa; Chordata; Mammalia; Lagomorpha; Leporidae.
ACCCAAUGAUGAACCUAUCCCGAAGCUGAGUACCUGAAGAAAAAGUAUUACGGAUUCGGCUUCUGAGAG